This 229-nucleotide ribosomal RNA is filed under the name uncultured bacterium. RNAcentral's name for it is "partial 16S ribosomal RNA". It matches the Rfam family "Bacterial small subunit ribosomal RNA", at positions 328 to 538 of the family's 1533-position model. The record is from RNAcentral.
ACGCUCGACACCUACGGGAGGCAGCAGUAGGGAAUCUUCCACAAUGGACGCAAGUCUGAUGGAGCAACGCCGCGUGAGUGAAGAAGGUCUUCGGAUCGUAAAACUCUGUUGUUAGAGAAGAACACGAGUGAGAGUAACUGUUCAUUCGAUGACGGUAUCUAACCAGCAAGUCACGGCUAACUACGUGCUAGCAGCCGCGGUAAUCUGGAGGCCGGGUCUGGACGAAGGC